CUCAAUACAUACGAUGAAAUGGUAAGAAUUGUUUAAGUUUCCUACUGGUGAGUAUGAAUGUUUUGUUCAUAAACAUAAAGAGGUAAAAAGGGAUAUUUACCGUACCGUACAUUUUUUUCGAGAUGAUGAUUUUGAAUAUAUUUUUGUUGGACCGAUUGUAAAGGCAAGGCCUUAUUUCUUUACUUCUGGAUAAUCUAUAGUUAAUUACGACUUAAGAUUAAUACACAAGGUUGAGUGGUUAAAAAUUGUUUAAAUAAGAACAUUAUCUAACAGUUUACACUGAUUUAAAAUAAAGAAUAAAGGUGUAUAUUAUCUGACCAAGGAUUUGUACUAUACAAAUCUUUGAUUUGACCUUAUAUUAAUAAGUAUUUAUAUGUGAUACGGGCUAUCCAUACAUAAUCUGUAUGUUAAUUUUCUUAAUUCAAUUCAUUGUAUUUAUUCUUUAUAUGUAGGAGUCAUUAGUAUAUGGGCGCAGUUUAAGUGAUUUAUGAAAGUACAUAAAUAGGUGUAUUAAUGCAGUUCAAAGUACGAACAAUAUUUUACUUACCUUGAAUAGAUAAGUCCUCUGUGAUAUGUGUUUUGUGUAACUGGAUGUGGCUGUAUUAUUUAGAUUGAAGUGACAUGGAUGGUGCUCUUAGACUUUGGUAGAUUCCACAACGCAUAGACUUUUAUAGUGAUGUACAUAGACUAGUAAUAACGUAUUUGAUUUAGAUUAAGAGUCACAGUGUAUACGUGGUGUCGGAAGAUUUCUCGGAACACAUCCUUGUACAUAAAAUAGUGAAUAUAUAUAUAUAUAUAUAUAUAUAGUUGUGUGCUUCUUGUGCUUUGUGUUGUGAAGUAAGCGGUAUGCUGGAAUAGAAUCCUUAUCUUAUAAUGGAUUUGACUAUAUUCUACAAUCGUGAUCUAUUGGUUGUUAACUCGGACAAUGUUGUUAUCUAUCAUACCAGCAACCGGAAUUGAUUCAUAGGUGGUAUUAUACUGGUUUGUGUGUCUACAGUUUUACUCUUAUAUUUAUUUUAAGCACACAGUUGCUGACAGUAUAGUUGCUUACCCGUACUAGACUACAGAAGUAGUGCUGCUUUAGUUAAAGAAGAAGAUCAAUUAAUAUAAGCCGUAGUUUCAUGUGCGUUAACCCGCAUCCAAUCGACCACAGAUUGUUUUUCUGCAAGCAGUGGAACUACGUCAUAUCAUAUCCUAUAUAGCGUUCAAAAUUUUGUUGAACUAAAUACAUGGAUCCUAUAUAUAUCUAUCCAGGGUGUGUCUCAUGUGAAUGAUGCUCAUUUGUGAUAUAACGUAACAUUUUACUUAGCUACAUCGAUCAAAUAUACCACCAACAUGGUUAUAAGGUUAGAUAUCGAUAUCUUACGAGAAGAAGUGCAUAAGGCGGUUCUAAUGUUCGUUGAUAAAUACAGAGUAGAAAUAAUCCUGGUGCCAUUAGUACUAUGUUUAAUUAUAAUUGUGAGUUCGUGUAUAGGUAGUCUUUUAGCACAUUGUCUUGUAAAGUUAUGUGCGCGAUAUUGUUGUUGCAGACAUUAUCAUAAAGAUAAACGAAGGCGGCGGCGUCGGAGAUAUUCAUCAACACCAUGUUCAAGCGAUGAUGAUUAUAUAUCUGAGCAGAUGUAUCCAAACUAUAAAUUAAAAAGAAUAUAUGUACAUUAAGUUUGCAAUGUUUUUUUUUUUUUUUUUUCUUUCUGUACUUAUAGGGUAUUUCUAUCACUUACAUAUACAAGAUUCUGUUAACAUGGUUAACUUAUACAGCUUCCUUUCAAAACGUCUGUGUGGAACAAC
RNAcentral lists this long non-coding RNA (1788 nucleotides) under Mytilus galloprovincialis (Mediterranean mussel). The record is from RNAcentral. Lineage: Eukaryota; Metazoa; Mollusca; Bivalvia; Mytilida; Mytilidae.